This is a long non-coding RNA of Carassius carassius (crucian carp), 330 nucleotides long. RefSeq lists it as uncharacterized. The transcript has 5 exons. Lineage: Eukaryota; Metazoa; Chordata; Actinopteri; Cypriniformes; Cyprinidae. The record is from RefSeq and is a predicted model, not a curated record.
AGCUCUCUCUGACUGGUACACAGGACUACACAGGACUCAGUCUCAAAAUGAACCAGUUUAUGAGGAAAUUUAUCAGAGACACAAUCUAUGUACUCAGAGAGGGAGUCUCAUCACUCAAGACGCUGAUGAGCUUCUCUCAGAGAGGCUGAAUGAGAUCACUCCAGGAAUCUAUGAGGAUAUCUUCACUGGUGGACCGAUACAAGAUUGUGAAACAGUGGACACACCAGAGAAUUAUGAUGAUGUCAUCAUUAAUGGACAGUGCUCACAAUGUGCAAAAGAGGGAGAUCAGGAGGAGUAUGAUGAUGUGUGGAGUAUCACUGAAGAUGUGAG